AACGAACGCUGGCGGCAGGCUUAACACAUGCAAGUCGAACGGGCACCUUCGGGUGUCAGCGGCAGACGGGUGAGUAACGCGUGGGAACGUACCCUUCGGUUCGGAAUAACCCAGGGAAACUUGGGCUAACACCGGAUACGUCCGCAAGGAGAAAGAUUUAUCGCCGAAGGAUCGGCCCGCGUCGGAUUAGCUAGUUGGUGGGGUAAUGGCCCACCAAGGCGACGAUCCGUAGCUGGUCUGAGAGGAUGANCAGCCACACUGGGACUGAGACACGGCCCAGACUCCUACGGGAGGCAGCAGUGGGGAAUAUUGGACAAGUGGGCGAAAGCCUGAUCCAGCCAUGCCGCGUGAGUGAAGAAGGCCUUAGGGUUGUAAAGCUCUUUCAGCGGGGAAGAUAAUGACGGUACCCGCAGAAGAAGUCCCGGCUAACUUCGUG
This 436-nucleotide ribosomal RNA is filed under the name uncultured bacterium. RNAcentral describes it as "bacterial SSU rRNA". It matches the Rfam family "Bacterial small subunit ribosomal RNA", at positions 29 to 507 of the family's 1533-position model. The record is from RNAcentral.